UGGGGGAUAUUGCACAAUGGAGGAAACUCUGAUGCAGCGACGCCGCGUGAGUGAAGAAGUAUUUCGGUAUGUAAAGCUCUAUCAGCAGGGAAGAAAAUGACGGUACCUGACUAAGAAGCCCCGGCUAACUACGUGCCAGCAGCCGCGGUAAUACGUAGGGGGCAAGCGUUAUCCGGAUUUACUGGGUGUAAAGGGAGCGUAGACGGCGAUGCAAGUCUGAAGUGAAAUACCCGGGCUCAACCUGGGAACUGCAUUGGAAACUGUCGUACUAGAGUGUCGGAGGGGUAAGCGGAAUUCCUAGUGUAGCGGUGAAAUGCGUAGAUAUUAGGAGGAACACCAGUGGCGAAGGCGGCUUACUGGACGAUAACUGACGCUGAGGCUCGAAAGCGUGGGGAGCAAACAGGGAUUAGAUACCCUGGGUAGU
Molecule: ribosomal RNA, 424 nt
Filed under: uncultured Lachnospiraceae bacterium
Lineage: Bacteria; Bacillati; Bacillota; Clostridia; Lachnospirales; Lachnospiraceae
Description: bacterial SSU rRNA
Rfam family: Bacterial small subunit ribosomal RNA
Source: RNAcentral